Salvia miltiorrhiza (redroot sage) is the source of this 273-nucleotide long non-coding RNA. RefSeq lists it as uncharacterized. The record is from RefSeq and is a predicted model, not a curated record. The transcript has 2 exons. NCBI's taxonomy places the organism in Eukaryota, Viridiplantae, Streptophyta, Magnoliopsida, Lamiales, Lamiaceae.
UUGCUCUAUAUUCUUGCAGAAAACUAGGAGGAAUAAUUUCAUUGCUAGAUGAAGCUUGGUUUGUGGUGGAUUAAAUGAGUCGUACGUUGAGCAGAAGAGGCUUGUGAAUUCAGAAGAAAAGUUGUACCAGAUGGCUAGAUAGUUGCAUAUUUAAUAUGUUUAGUAAUUUUGUAAGGCAUAAUAGUAUUAGAUAGAGCAGUAGUUGAAUUUUGACUAUAUUCAAAUAGUGUAUGAAUUCUUUUUUAUGAUAAUAAUAUAUGGAUUUUGAUUAUU